AUUCCAGCUCCAAUAGCGUAUAUUAAAGUUGUUGCAGUUAAAAAGCUCGUAGUUGAAUUUCUGUACAGUCCCGGUUCUGGCUUCGGUCAAGCCGUGGAUUGUGCAUCCGCUUGCAAAUCUAGCUCGGCCUUCACUGGUCGACUAGGGGGGUAAGCCCUUUACUUUGAAAAAAUUAGAGUGUUUCAGGCAGGCAAUGGCUCGAAUACAUUAGCAUGGAAUAAUGGAAUAGGACUUUUGUCCAUUUGGUUGGUUAUUGGACAUGAGUAAUGAUUAAAAGGGACAGUUGGGGGCAUUAGUAUUUAAUAGUCAGAGGUGAAAUUCUUGGAUUUAUUAAAGACUAACUUAUGCGAAAGCAUUUGCCAAGGAUGUUUUCAUCG
This 377-nucleotide ribosomal RNA is filed under the name Parauronema sp. Its description in RNAcentral is "partial small subunit ribosomal RNA". It matches the Rfam family "Eukaryotic small subunit ribosomal RNA", at positions 582 to 975 of the family's 1831-position model. Lineage: Eukaryota; Ciliophora; Oligohymenophorea; Philasterida; Philasteridae. The record is from RNAcentral.